AGCCAAGCUGAAUCCCGAGUAGCACGGAGCCCGUGAAAGUCCGUGUGAAUCCGCCUCGACCACGAGGUAAGGCUAAAUACUCCUGUGUGACCGAUAGAGAAACAGUACCGUGAGGGAAAGGUGAAAAGAACCCCGGGAGGGGAGUGAAAUAGAACCUGAAACCGUCAGCUUACAAGCAGUGGGAGUCCGAUUAAACGGAUGACCGCGUGCCUGUUGAAGCAUGAGCCGGCGAGUUAAAGGCGAUGGCAGGUUAAGACCGAAGAGGUCGAAGCCCAAGCGAAAGCGAGUCUGAACAGGGCGAAGUCGUCAUCGUUUUUAGACCCGAACCCGGGUGAUCUAACCAUGUCCAGGAUGAAGCUUGGGUAAAACCAAGUGAAGGUCCGAACCGACCGAUGUUGAAAAAUCGGCGGAUGAGGUGUGGUUAGGGGUGAAAUGCCAAUCGAACCCGGAGCUAGCUGGUUCUCCCCGAAAUGUGUUGAGGCACAGCGGUUGCGGAAAAAUCUGGGGGGUAAAGCACUGAUUCGGUGCGGGCUGCGAGAGCGGUACCAAAUCGAGUCAAACUCUGAAUACCCAGAGGAAAGCAACCAGUCAGACGGUGGGGGAUAAGCUCCAUCGUCAAGAGGGAAACAGCCCAGACCACCAGCUAAGGUCCCGAAAUCAUCACUAAGUGAGAAAGGAGGUGGGAAUGCAGAGACAACCAGGAGGUUUGCCUAGAAGCAGCCAACCUUAAAAGAGUGCGUAAUAGCUCACUGGUCAAGCGUUGCUGCGCCGAAAAUGAAAGGGGCUAAGUGAUGUACCGAAGCUGUGGAAUAUGAUUGUAUUGUAUUGGUAGGGGAGCGUUCUGGCGUAGGGAGAAGCAUUAGCGGAAGCAGAUGUGGACGAACCAGAAGUGAGAAUGUCGGCUUGAGUAGCGAAAAUCUUGGUGAGAAUCCAAGACCCCGAAAUCCUAAGGGUUCCUCCGCACGGCUCGUCCACGGAGGGUAAGUCAGGGCCUAAGGCGAGGCUGAAGAGCGUAGUCGAUGGACAACGGGUGAAGAUUCCCGUACCAUUGGUAAAUGGGUCAGGGGGACGGAGAAGGUGUGUGCUAGCCGGA
Molecule: ribosomal RNA, 1093 nt
Filed under: Planktothrix mougeotii LEGE 06226
Lineage: Bacteria; Bacillati; Cyanobacteriota; Cyanophyceae; Oscillatoriales; Microcoleaceae
Description: partial 23S ribosomal RNA
Rfam family: Bacterial large subunit ribosomal RNA
Source: RNAcentral